RNAcentral lists this long non-coding RNA (7240 nucleotides) under Triticum aestivum (bread wheat). RNAcentral's name for it is "long non-coding RNA (TAES_LNC006329)". Lineage: Eukaryota; Viridiplantae; Streptophyta; Magnoliopsida; Poales; Poaceae. The record is from RNAcentral.
CGGCAGCCCGUCGACGCGCGGCAGCGGCAGCGGCACGAAGCGGAGGCGACCUGACAGGUGCGGCGGCACGGGCGGGAGCCUGGCGAGGUUCCGCGGCGUGGAGACGAAGGCGACAGCGUGGCCGCGGGCGGCGAGGCGCCUGGAGAGGUCGAGGAACGGGAGCAUGUGCCCGAACGCCAGCCACGGGAACAUCACCACCUCCAGCUGCCCGCCGGCUUCCUCCAUAUGGACGUGAGCUGAGCUGAGCCGAUCGGCAAUGGAGGCUGGAGAAGAAGCAAAUUAAUCAAGGUGGUUGACUCUCUUCUGGUGGAGCAGCCUGAGAAUGGUGAUAUGCGACGAUCGAUCCGACCGCGUGUGUAUAUAUAAUUCUACUCCGCAGAGGCGAGCUGGCGCUUCUCGUGGCGUGGCUGAUAUUUUAAGCUUUGAGAUUGGUACGGAUGUAAGCAUCAUUUGUGAUUUGCUACCGCUAACGACCAAUUGAAAGUGAGGAUAAUGGUCUAGCCGAAUAUAUAUACUUGGGAUAAUGACAACUUAGCCAAAUCAGGAUCAUGACCUGGCCGAUCAAAGUCAGAAGAGUAGAAUGUAUAGUUUAUCUUGGGAUAAUGUGAUUAAGGAGCCAGAAGUCAUCGCCGACACAAAACUUUCAGAGAACGUGGUAGCAAUUUCUCACUCAAACAUCCCUUUCUGGACUUGCAUCGAUUGAUUACUAUGCAUUUUGGUAACGUCUCAGGUGCUCCACAAGAUGGUCAAUGUGUACCGCUACCUGUCGCGCCCUGUCUUCGAGAACCUCUCACACAUGAACAUGAAUUGAACGAACACUACAACAUGGUACUUGUACUAAAGUUAGUAUAAAGUUGAGUCAUCUAUUUUGGAACGGAGGGAGUAGAAAUUUGGAGGCACUAAAAAUACGCCUUUAAAAGGUCGCCCCCAAAUAUGUAACGAGGUGACUGAAGAAAACACUAGAGUCAAUCACGAAGGCAAAGGUCUAACAUAGGCAUUAUGCAAAAACGCCUCCGAUGCUCAGGCCUUUGAGGGCGAUUUCGACGUCUCCAUGCUCAAAUCGAGGCAUUUUCAGAAAUGCCGACAAACCGCUGUGCACCGGCUGCUUAAAAAGUAGGAUCCGGCUUGCCUGCUCCUUUCACAUGCUCCCAUCCGUGCUUCCACUUCAUCCUACGACUGUCCUUUUCUCUUUUCUCUUUCUAAUCUAAUCAUUCCCCCCCUGAUUUUAAGAGAUGGGGCCGGAGCACGUUGGGAGAGUAGGCAAGUCUUGUUCGCUUAAAAAAGGCCUAUCGACUAUGCUGGAUCUACAAAACAGGACCUCUAACUCUUGUUCCAUUAGCGGUAUGGGACUAAAAUGUUUCAAGUCUGACCAACCUCCCGUGAGCAAAAGCUAAAUCUGAGAUAAUUAACAUGUAUUGCAUGAUUCGAACACAGCCCUGGCUGUGUAUAACUUUGCACUCAUACCACUACAAUAAGCAAAGCAUUUAGAUUAAGUUACAAACCAACCAUUUGUUAAUCCAGACGAGCAGGCCUUCCGAUCAAAAAUCAUCACGCAACUCAUCUCCGAUAUGCCAAUAAUCUCGUCAACAACGGAUUGAACGACGACGGCCAAGAACGAAAUACUCAUGCGGCUUUGAACACUGAAGGUCCCGUAACAGCAGCACUGCCACCCGCAUCAGCCGCAAUAUGUGGCCAGUUUGCCGCCGCCGGACCUGCCGCGCUGCAUCAAUCUAAGAGCAUUUUCCUAAGACGCCUGUCGGUGUCAAAACCGGCGGAUCUCGGGUAGGGGGUUCCGAACUGUGCGUCUAGGCCGGAUGAUAACAGGAGGCAGGGGACACGAUGUUUUAGCCAGAUUCGGGUCCUCUUGAUGAAGGUAAAACCCUACGUCCUGCUUGAUUAAUAUUGAUGAUAUGGGUAGUACAAGAGUAGAUCUACCACGAGAUCAGAGAGGCUAAACCCUAGAAGCUAGCCUAUGGUAUGAUUGUUGUUCGUCCUAUGGACUAAAACCCUCCGGUUUAUAUAGACACUAGAGAGGGCUAUGGUUACACAGAGUCGGUUACAAUGGUAGGAGAUCUACAUAUCCAUAUCACCAAGCUUGCCUUCCACGCCAAGGAAAGUCCCUUCCGGACACGGGACGAAGUGUUCAAUCUUGUAUCUUCAUAAUCCAGGAGUCCGGCCGAACGCCUCCGGCCAGCGGCGACGGCGUCCGUGAGGAACGCGGCGAGAGGGGCCGCGAGCCCGUCCAUGGCCAUCUUAAGGAACCCGUCCUCCCCGGGCGGCACGUCGGCGGUGGACUCGGCGCCCUCCGGCAGCCUGUCGACGCGCGGCAGCGGCAGCGGCACGAAGCGGAGGCGACCUGACAGGUGCGGCGGCACGGGCGGGAGCCUGGCGAGGUUCCGCGGCGUGGAGACGAAGGCGACGGCGUGGCCGCGGGCGGCGAGGCGCCUGGAGAGGUCGAGGAACGGGAGCAUGUGCCCGAAUGCCAGCCACGGGAACAUCACCACCUCCAGCUGCCCGCCGGCUUCCUCCAUAUGGACGUGAGCUGAGCUGAGCCGAUCGGCAAUGGAGGCUGGAGAAGAAGCAAAUUAAUCAAGGUGGUUGACUCUCUUCUGAUGGAGCAGCCUGAGAAUGGUGAUAUGCGACGAUCGAUCCGACCGCGUGUGUAUAUAUAAUUCUACUCCGCAGAGGCGAGCUGGCGCUUCUCGUGGCGUGGCUGAUAUUUUAAGCUUUGAGAUUGGUACGGAUGUAAGCAUCAUUUGUGAUUUGCUACCGCUAACGACCAAUUGAAAGUGAGGAUAAUGGCCUGGCCGAAUAUAUAUACUUGGGAUAAUGACAACUUAGCCAAAUCAGGAUCAUGACCUGGCCGAUCAAAGUCAGAAGAGUAGAAUGUAUAGUUUAUCUUGGGAUAAUGUGAUUAAGGAGCCAGAAGUCAUCGCCGACACAAAACUUUCAGAGAACGUGGUAGCAAUUUCUCACUCAAACAUCCCUUUCUGGACUUGCAUCGAUUGAUUACUAUGCAUUUUGGUAACGUCUCAGGUGCUCCACAAGAUGGUCAAUGUGUACCGCUACCUGUCGCGCCCUGUCUUCGAGAACCUCUCACGCAUGAACAUGAAUUGAACGAACACUACAACAUGGUACUUGUACUAAAGUUAGUAUAAAGUUGAGUCAUCUAUUUUGGAACGGAGGGAGUAGAAAUUUGGAGGCACUAAAAAAACGCCUUUAAAAGGUCGCCCCCAAAUAUGUAACGAGGUGACUGAAGAAAACACUAGAGUCAAUCACGAAGGCAAAGGUCUAACAUAGGCAUUAUGCAAAAACGCCUCCGAUGCUCAGGCCUUUGAGGGCGAUUUCGACGUCUCCAUGCUCAAAUCGAGGCAUUUUCAGAAAUGCCGACAAACCGCUGUGCACCGGCUGCUUAAAAAGUAGGAUCCGGCUUGCCUGCUCCCUUCACAUGCUCCCAUCCGUGCUUCCACUUCAUCCUACGGCUGUCCUUUUCUCUUUUCUCUUUCUAAUCUAAUCAUUUCCCCCCUGAUUUUAAGAGAUGGGGCCGGAGCACGUUGGGAGAGUAGGCAAGUCUCGUUCGCUUAAAAAAGGCCUAUCGACUAUGCUGGAUCUACAAAACAGGACCUCUAACUCUUGUUCCAUUAGCGGUAUGGGACUAAAAUGUUUCAAGUCUGACCAACCUCCCGUGAGCAAAAGCUAAAUCUAAAAUAAUUAACAUGUAUUGCAUGAUUCGAACACAGCCCUGGCUGUGUAUAACUUUGCACUCAUACCACUACAAUAAGCAAAGCAUUUAGAUUAAGUUACAAACCAACCAUUUGUUAAUCCAGACGAGCAGGCCUUCCGAUCAAAAAUCAUCACGCAACUCAUCUCCGAUAUGCCAAUAAUCUCGUCAGCAGCGGAUUGAACGACGACGGCCAAGAACGAAAUACUCAUGCGGCUUUGAACCCUGAAGGUCUCGUAACAGCAGCACUGCUACCCGCAUCAGACGCAAUAUGUGGCCAGUUUGCCGCCGCCGGACCUGCCGCGCUGCAUCAAUCUAAGAGCAUUUUCCUAAGACGCCUGUCGGUGUCAAAACCGGCGGAUCUCGGGUAGGGGGUUCCGAACUGUGCGUCUAGGCCGGAUGAUCACAGGAGGCAGGGGACACGAUGUUUUAGUCAGGUUCGGGCCCUCUUGAUGGAGGUAAAACCCUAAGUUCUGCUUGAUUAAUAUUGAUGAUAUGGGUAGUACAAGAGUAGAUCUACCACGAGAUCAGAGAGGCUAAACCCUAGAUCUAGCCUAUGGUAUGAUUGUUGUUCGUCCUAUGGACUAAAACCCUCCGGUUUAUAUAGACACCAGAGAGGGUUAGGGUUACACAGAGUCGGUUACAAUGGUAGGAGAUCUACAUAUCCAUAUCGCCAAGCUUGCCUUCCACGCCAAGGAAAGUCCCUUUCAGACAUGGGACGAAGUGUUCAAUCUUGUAUCUUCAUAGUCCAGGAGUCCGGCCGAACGCCUCCGGCCAGCGGCGACGGCGUCCGCGAGGAACGCGGUGAGAGGGGCCGCGAGCCCGUCCAUGGCCAUCUUAAGGAGCCCGUCCUCCCCGGGCGGCACGUCGGCGGUGGACUCGGCGCCCUCCGACAGCCCGUCGAUGCGCGGCAGCGGCAGCGGCACGAAGCGGAGGCGACCUGACAGGUGCGGCGGCACGGGCGGGAGCCUGGCGAGGUUCCGCGGCGUGAAGACGAAGGCGACGGCAUGGCCGCGGGCGGCGAGGCGCCUGGAGAGGUCGAGGAACGGAAGCAUGUGCCCGAAUGCCAGCCACGGGAACAUCACCACCUCCAGCUGCCCGCCGGCUUCCUCCAUAUGGACGUGAGCUGAGGUGAACCGAUCGGCAAUGGAGGCUGGAGAAGAAGCAAAUUAAUCAAGGUGGUUGACUCUCUUCUGGUGGAGCAGCCUGAGAAUGGUGAUAUGCGACGAUCGAUCCGACUGCGUGUGUAUAUAUAAUUCUACUCCGCAGAGGCGAGCUGGCGCUUCUCGUGGCGUGGAUGAUAUUUUAAGCUUUGAGAUUGGUAUGGAUGUAAGCAUCAUUCGUGAUUUGCUACCGCUAACGACCAAUUGAAAGUGAGGAUAAUGGCCUGGCCGAAUAUAUAUACUUGGGAUAAUGACAACUUAGCCAAAUCAGGAUCAUGACCUGGCCGAUCAAAGUCAGAAGAGUAGAAUGUAUAGUUUAUCUUGGGAUAAUGUGAUUAAGGAGCCAGAAGUCAUCGCCGACACAAAACUUUCAGAGAACGUGGUAGCAAUUUCUCACUCAAACAUCCCUUUCUGGACUUGCAUCGAUUGAUUACUAUGCAUUUUGGUAACGUCUCAGGUGCUCCACAAGAUGGUCAAUGUGUACCGCUACCUGUCGCGCCCUUUCUUCGAGAACCUCUCACGCAUGAACAUGAAUUGAACGAACACUAUAACAUGGUACUUGUACUAAAGUUAGUAUAGAGUUGAGUCAUAUAUUUUGGAACGGAGGGAGUAGAAAUUUGGAGGCACUAAAAAUACGCCUUUAAAAGGUCGCCCCCAAAUAUGUAACGAGGUGACUGAAGAAAACACUAGAGUCAAUCACGAAGGCAAAGGUCUAACAUAGGCAUUAUGCAAAAACGCCUCCGAUGCUCGGGCCUUUGAGGGCGAUUUCGACGUCUCCAUGCUCAAAUCGAGGCAUUUUCAGAAAUGCCGACAAACCGCUGUGCACCGGCUGCUUAAAAAGUAGGAUCCGGCUUGCCUGCUCCCUUCACAUGCUCCCAUCCGUGCUUCCACUUCAUCCUAUGGCUGUCCUUUUCUCUUUUCUCUUUCUAAUCUAAUCAUUCCGCCCCCUGAUUUUAAGAGAUGGGGCCGGAGCACGUUGGGAGAGUAGGCAAGUCUCGUUCGCUUAAAAAAGGCCUAUCGACUAUGCUGGAUCUACAAAACAGGACCUCUAACUCUUGUUCCAUUAGCGGUAUGGGACUAAAAUGUUUCAAGUCUGACCAACCUUCUGUGAGCAAAAGCUAAAUCUGAGAUAAUUAACAUGUAUUGCAUGAUUCGAACACAGCCCUGGCUGUGUAUAACUUUGCACUCAUACAACUACAAUAAGUAAAGCAUUUAGAUUAAGUUACAAACCAACCAUUUGUUAAUCCAGACGAGCAGGCCUUCCGAUCAAAAAUCAUCACGCAACUCAUCUCCGAUAUGCCAAUAAUCUCGUCAGCAGCGGAUUGAACGACGACGGCCAAGAACGAAAUACUCAUGCGGCUUUGAACACUGAAGGUCCCGUAACAGCAGCACUGCCACCCGCAUCAGCCGCAAUAUGUGGCCAGUUUGCCGCUGCCGGACCUGCCGCGCUGCAUCGAUCUGAGAGUAUUUUCCUAAGACGCCUGUCGGUGUCAAAACCGGCAGAUCUCGGGUAGGGAGUUUCGAACUGUGCGUCUAGGCCGGAUGAUAACAGGAGGCAGGGGACACGAUGUUUUAGCCAGGUUCGGGCCCUCUUGAUGGAGGUAAAACCCUACGUUCUGCUUGAUUAAUAUUGAUCAUAUGGGUAGUACAAGAGUAGAUCUACCACGAGAUCAGAGAGGCUAAACCCUAAAAGCUAGCCUAUGGUAUGAUUGUUGUUCGUCCUAUGGACUAAAACCCUCCGGUUUAUAUAGACACCAGAGAGGGCUAGGGUUACACAGAGUCGGUUACAAUGGUAAGAGAUCUACAUAUCCAUUUCGCCAAGCUUGCCUUCCACACCAAGGAAAGUCCCUUCCGUACACGGGACGAAGUGUUCAAUCUUGUAUCUUCAUAGUCCAGGAGUCCGGCCAAACGCCUCCGGCCAGCGGCGACGGCGUCCGCGAGGAACGCGGCGAGAGGGGCCGCGAGCCCGUCCAUGGCCAUCUUAAGGAGCCCGUCCUCCCCGGGCGGCACGUCGGCGGUGGACUCGGCGCCCUCCGGCAGCCCGUCGACGCGCGGCAGCGGCAGCUGCACGAAGCGGAGGCGACCUGACAGGUGCGGCGGCGCGGGUGGGAGCCUGGCGAGGUUCCGCGGCGUGGAGACGAAGGCGACGGUGUGGCCGCGGGCGGCGAGGCGCCUGGAGAGGUCGAGGAAUGGGAGCAUGUGCCCGAACGCCAGCCACGGGAACAUCACCACCUCCAGCUGCCCGCCGGCUUCCUCCAUAUGGACGUGAGCUGAGCUGAGCUGAUCGGCAAUGGAGGCUGGAGAAGAAGCAAAUUAAUCAAGGUGGUUGACUCUCUUCUGGUGGAGCAGCCUGAGA